AAAAAGAUAAACCCUGGGUUUCCACGUCCAAUGUUUGACCGUCCGUCUUAUUUAAAAAAAAUAUAAAAAAAUUAAAAAGACAAGUCACGCAUAAAGUAUUAAUCAUGUUUUAUCAUCUAACAAUAAUGAAAAUACUAAUUAUAAAAAAUUUCAUAUAAGACGGACAGUCAAAUGUUGGACACGGAAACCCAGGGUUUAUCUUUUU
This 205-nucleotide microRNA precursor is filed under the name Oryza barthii. RNAcentral describes it as "MIR812 microRNA precursor family". It matches the Rfam family "MIR812 microRNA precursor family". The record is from Rfam by way of RNAcentral. Lineage: Eukaryota; Viridiplantae; Streptophyta; Magnoliopsida; Poales; Poaceae.